RNAcentral lists this ribosomal RNA (440 nucleotides) under uncultured bacterium. RNAcentral describes it as "partial 16S ribosomal RNA". It matches the Rfam family "Bacterial small subunit ribosomal RNA", at positions 338 to 795 of the family's 1533-position model. The record is from RNAcentral.
CCUACGGGAGGCAGCAGUGGGGAAUAUUGCACAAUGGGGGCAACCCUGAUGCAGCGACGCCGCGUGAGUGAAGAAGUAAUUCGUUAUGUAAAGCUCUAUCAGCAGGGAAGAAAUUGACGGUACCUGCAAAGGAAGCACGGGCUAACUCCGUGCCAGCAUCCGCGGUAAUACGGAGGGUGCGAGCGUUAAUCGGAAUUACUGGGCGUAAAGCGGUCGUAGGCGGUAUGUCAAGUCAAGGGUGAAAUCCCCGCGCUCAACGUGGGAACUGGCUUUUAAACUGGAAAACUGGAGUGGGAGCGAGGAUAGUGGAAUUCCGGGUGUAGGAGUGAAAUCCGUAGGUAUCCGGAGGAAAAUCAGAGGCGAAGGCGACUAUCUGGCACAUAACUGACGCUGAGGAGAGAAAGCGUGGGUAGCAAACAGGAUUAGAUACCCUGGUAGUC